Molecule: ribosomal RNA, 253 nt
Filed under: uncultured bacterium
Lineage: Bacteria
Description: partial 16S ribosomal RNA
Rfam family: Bacterial small subunit ribosomal RNA
Source: RNAcentral
UACGUAGGGUGCAAGCGUUGUCCGGAAUUAUUGGGCGUAAAGAGCUCGUAGGCGGUCUGUCGCGUCGGCUGUGAAAACCCGGGGCUCAACCCCGGGCCUGCAGUCGAUACGGGCAGACUAGAGUGUGGUAGGGGAGACUGGAAUUCCUGGUGUAGCGGUGAAAUGCGCAGAUAUCAGGAGGAACACCGGUGGCGAAGGCGGGUCUCUGGGCCGAUACUGACGCUGAGGAGCGAAAGCGUGGGGAGCGAACAGG